GACGAACGCUGGCGGCGUGCCUAAUACAUGCAAGUCGAACGAAAGCGCCCGGUGCUUGCACUGGUCAAUCUAGUGGCGAACGGGUGAGUAACACGUGGGUAACCUGCCUAUCAGAGGGGGAUAACAUCCGGAAACGGAUGCUAAAACCGCAUAGGUCUUCGAACCGCAUGGUUUGAAGAGGAAAAGAGGUGCAAGCUUCUGCUGAUGGAUGGUCCCGCGGGGCUUUACCUAGUUGGUGAGGUAACGGCUCACAAAGGCCGUGAUGCAUAGCCAACCUGGAGGGGUGAUCGGCACAAUUGGGCCUAAGCAACGGCCCAAACUCCAACGGAAGGAAGCAGUAGGGAACCUUCGGCAAUGGACGCAAGUCUGCCGGAGAAAGGCCGGGGGAGUGAAGAAGGUUUUGGGAUCGUAAAACUCUGUUGUUAGAAAAGACAAAGUGCUAGAGUAACUGGUAGAGCUUUGACGGUAUCUAACAAGAAAGCCACGGCUAACUACGU
Molecule: ribosomal RNA, 497 nt
Filed under: uncultured bacterium
Lineage: Bacteria
Description: partial 16S ribosomal RNA
Rfam family: Bacterial small subunit ribosomal RNA
Source: RNAcentral